UAGGGAAUCUUCGGCAAUGGACGAAAGUCUGACCGAGCAACGCCGCGUGAGUGAAGAAGGUUUUCGGAUCGUAAAACUCUGUUGUUAGAGAAGAACAAGGACGUUAGUAACUGAACGUCCCCUGACGGUAUCUAACCAGAAAGCCACGGCUAACUACGUGCCAGCAGCCGCGGUAAUACGUAGGUGGCAAGCGUUGUCCGGAUUUAUUGGGCGUAAAGCGAGCGCAGGCGGUUUCUUAAGUCUGAUGUGAAAGCCCCCGGCUCAACCGGGGAGGGUCAUUGGAAACUGGGAGACUUGAGUGCAGAAGGGGAGAGUGGAAUUCCAUGUGUAGGGGUGAAAUGCGUAGAUAUAUGGAGGAACACCAGUGGCGAAGGCGGCUCUCUGGUCUGUAACUGACGCUGAGGCUCGAAAGCGUGGGGAGCGAACAGG
RNAcentral lists this ribosomal RNA (429 nucleotides) under Gemmatimonadota bacterium. Its description in RNAcentral is "Gemmatimonadetes bacterium partial 16S ribosomal RNA". It matches the Rfam family "Bacterial small subunit ribosomal RNA", at positions 355 to 776 of the family's 1533-position model. Lineage: Bacteria; Pseudomonadati; Gemmatimonadota. The record is from RNAcentral.